RNAcentral lists this long non-coding RNA (4743 nucleotides) under Nicotiana benthamiana. Its description in RNAcentral is "long non-coding RNA (NBEN_LNC009379)". Lineage: Eukaryota; Viridiplantae; Streptophyta; Magnoliopsida; Solanales; Solanaceae. The record is from RNAcentral.
GUUGAUCUUCUCCAAAACUCAACCAGCUAAAGCCAUAAACGACCACCAAACUCGCCAGAAAAACUCCAGCAGCCAUCCACCCUCACCACACCGGAAUCCGACGACCAUACACAUAUAUACAGCAUCUGAAGGCGACGCUUGAGAUUAGGAGUUGAAGCAGAGCCGGUUCCAUCACAGCACAGACUUCCCCCAUCGGAAAACUCUCACGCCGCAACAAAUAAAAACCAAAUGACCCUCCAAAACUUCAUCUUCUUCUUCAUUUCUGAAUACACACACACAGAAACGGAGACAGGGAAACGAAAAGGAACGAAGAGGGGAGGUAGAGAACAAAAAUGAGUAGCUUUGGUCUUCCCUCUUUGAAACCAGCUUUUUUUUCAGUUUGAUUUAAUUCGGAAAAAUAAGAAAGAAAAAUUCAGCCCCUGUUUUGACUCUUUGUUCAUGAAAAUUGAUUGAGAGGUUGUUGAGGUCGGAGUCUCGGCCGUCGUUCCUGUCCGACUGGGUUUAUGAUUUGGAUUGAGGCGAGUUGUUGUUCGAUUUCUGCGUUUGAGCGUGUCCGAUUUGUUGUUCGUUGGUCGCGGCUGUUCAAACUUUCAGGUGUUAAACAGGUUCAGAUUUGAAAUUGUUUUGUUUUGAGAAUGUUAUAUUUACAGAAUGCUCAUUUCGUUUGUCUCUUUCUCGGUUAGUCCAAUAUUUGUUAGUGAGUUCUUCUUAUUUAAAUUUUGUUUGUUAUACUUUGAUGUUUCUGUUCAUUGGUCUACUAUCUGGAUGUGUUCAUUUUAUUUUGUUAAAUGAAGACUAAUGAAUCUCUAAGAAUAUUGAGUUGCUGCUGGCAGAUAUCUCAAAUAAAAUAAUUAUAGUUUAGGGUAAUCUUUAUUAAUUUUCUUUGCCUAGCUUUUGUUUCAUUCGACUAAAAUAAGAGUAUGUGCAAGCUACGGGCUGGCUUUUAGAGAUAUUGGAAGUAGAUGUUGGUUUAUGCCAUUCUUCAGCUGAGUAUAAAUUUACAUAGAAAAGGAUUGAGGCUUGUCAUGUCAAGUAAAAUCUCAAAACGCAUGGCUCUCGCUUAAUUAUCCUUUUAAAUCCUCAUAAAUUUGGAACAUGCCGUUUACGAACUUUCCGGCUUCCCGCAAAGAUAAUUACAUGUUAGCCGCUUUAGGCUCGUCAUUAAUAAUUUUAUCUCCUUAAAUACGGGUGCGUAUUUAUGUGACCCAAAUCCAAUAUGUGACGUGGUUUGAGACGUGUUUUAACGACGUUGCAACUCUCCUUAAAAAUAAUAAUAAAAGUGGUUAAAAGAUUAAAAAUGCACAUAGGUUCAUAAUUGUAUAAAAUCAGAUACUUUAAACCAAAUAUAACAGUUGAGCCACCGUACUAGAACCACGGAACCCUAACGCCUUCUCUCGGGUUAACACAAUUCCUUACCCGGAUUUCUGGUUCUCGGACUGUUAAAUAGAGUCAUUCUUUCCUCAAUUCGGGAUUCUAACCGGUGACUUGGGACACCAUAAAUCUCCCAAGUGGAGACUCUGAAAUUUCUUAAAUAAUUGGAUUCCGUCUCCAUUGUACUUUCAUUGGAAAAACUCUCUUUUUUACGCCCUUCGCCGAGUUGUGGAUAGCCUAAAGGAGGUGUGACAAUAGCGAUCCAGCCCAUGUGUUAGAUUUUAGCACUGUCCAGUUGGACAAGGACAUAUCUUAUGAGGAGGAACUGUUAGCUAUUCUACACCGGCAGGUUCGUCAGUUGAGGUCUAAGAGAUUUCCUUCUUAUUGUGACCAAUGUGGAGGUUAGCAUCCUGAGGCAUCGACUUGGGAAUUCGAGUCUGAUAUGUGGAGCCGUUAUCCUCAUUUUUUCCUGACACAGGCACUUCUCUCUUUUGUUCGUUCGAGGGCAAACGGUUAUUUUAUUGGCGGAGGAUGUGGGUCAUCACUUGUUUUCUUACCUAUUCUGUACUUUCGAGGCCUUGAAAACCUAAUCUAAGGUUGCCUCGAUUUACGUGCGCAGUUCGGGCGCGUAGUCAGAAAGCUUAGAUAUGAAUUCUGUGAGAAAAUUGUAAUAUAUUGAUAUUAAAUUGAAUAAAUUUGACUUGAUAAACAGACCCGGACCCGUGAUUUGACGGUCCCGGAGGGCCUGUACGAAAAAUAUGGGACUUGGGCAUAUGCCUAGAAUUGAAUUCCGAGGUCUCAAGCCCGAGAAAUGUAUUUUUGCGUGAAAUUAUUUUCUGAAAAUAAUUAAGGAUAUUGGAAGUGAAAUUUGAUUAAAAGAUUAUGGUAUCGGGCCCAUAUUUUGGUUCCGGUACCCGAUAUAAGUCUUAUAUAUGGUUUAAGCGCUUUCUAUGCAGUUUGGUUUAAAAUGGACGUCGUUUGACGUGUUUUGGACUUAAAAUGGAAAUUUGAUGUUUUAUGAAAAUUUGGAGGAAAUCAUGAGUUUUGAGGCUUAAUUCGAUAUAUAUGAUGUUAUUUUGGCGAUUUGAUUACGUGACUAAGUCCAUAGGAUGUUUUUGAGGUUAUAUGCAUAUUUGGUUUGGAGCCGCGAAGGAUCGGGUGAGUUUCGGAUAGGCGUCAGAGUACAUUUUUAACCUUGAAAGUUGAUGAUAUGAACUGGCCUGGAGGCAUCGCAUUUGCGAAGCCUGCUUUGCAAAUGCGUGUGGCCCUUUGCAAUUGCGAAGUAAACCCAGGCCAGCCCUUCUCGCAAAAUGCAUGAAGAUAAUCAAUUCGGUCGUUGUGCGAGCAUUUCUUCACAAAUGCAAAAAAAUGCUCAGGCUGGCAGUGAUCGUAAAUGCGAUCGUUAUGUUGCUAAUACGACCAUCGCAAAUGCGAUCCUCACUUCACAAAUGCAAGGUCCCAUAAAUAGGAAGGGUUCGCAAAUGCGAACCCUGUUUUGCAUUUUCCAUGUUAGCAUAGUAGUUCGCAAUUGCGACAUCUGCAACUUGCAUUUUUAUACUUAGUCGAAAUUUGGACAUUUUUCACCACAUUUUCAAAACACAACCCCUUUAGGCGAUUUUCCAAGAACAAGACCUCUUUAAAAUCGUUUGUAAGUUGCUUUUUACUCAUUUAUUUCAAUCUUUAACAUUAUUUAUCAUGUUUUCAACUUAAAAUCAAUGAUUUUCAUGGGCAAAAUUGGAGAUUUGGGGUAGAACCUAGAUUUUUCAAAAUUGGCGAUUUGGACCUCAAUUUGAGGUCCGAUUUCAAAACAAAUCAUAUAUUUGGGUUCGUGGGGGAAUGUGUAGCCGGAUUUUGGUUUGAACUUCGGGUUUUGACCAUGUUGGCCUGAGGGAUAUUUAGGUCAGUUUACCUAAAUUUGCAUUUUAGCUGUAAAUUAAAUAGUAGAAUUAGUUGCUUGAGAUGUUAUUUACGAGAUGUAAUUGAAACGAAUAGAUUUAGGCCAUUUGGAGUCGGAUACUCGUGGGAAAAGUGUGGUUUCAAGUUAAAUUUGGAGUCUGUUUGAGGUAAGUGGCUUGUCUAACCUUGUGUGGGGGACCUUCCCUUUAGGAUAUGAUGUUUGGUAACUGAAUGCCUCGCACGUGAGGUGAUGAGCACGGACUUGAGCAGAUUGUUGGAAAUGUGUUUUUACUUGAAGUAUUUAAAUUGAGUUUUCUUGCUUACCUGUUCGUUUUGAAUUGUAAAUUUAUUCUUUGCUGGUUUAGAAAAGCAUGUUCAUUUGACUUGCUUGCCUAAGUGUUUAAACUAUCUUAUUUGUACUCUGCGUAAUAUGUUUGACUAGUAUUUUCUAUUUCAUGUCCCGAGUUAGUAUCUAUCCUAAUGUUUGGGUUGCUAUUAUGUAUUUUUAAAAUGGGACUACGGGUUGGCCUCCCAGGAGAUCCCCCUGCACUUGAUAUGUUCUGGAUUGAAGGUGCGGGAUGUCAAGAGAUCCCUAGUACAUGAAAUUGUAAGAUUUGAGGAUACCAAGAGAUCCUCGGGAUACCAAGAGAUCCCCGGCAUAUUAAAUUGUAAGAUUUGAGGAUACCAAGAGAUCCUUUCCAUAUGAAAUUGUAAGAUUUGAGGAUACAAGAGAUCCUCGUGAUACCAAGAGAUCCCUGGCACAUGAUAUUGUAAGAUUUGAAGAUACCAAGAUAUCCUCGGGAUACCAAGAGAUCCCCAUCACAUGAGAUUGUAGGAUUUGAGGAUACCAAUAGACCCUGGGAUACCAAGAGAUCCCUCGUUUAUGUGGUGAGGAUACCAAGAGAUCCCCCGUUGAGUUUCUGUUGUGAGUAAUAUUUACUAGUAUUGUCAUGCUCUUCUGUUUUCUAUUAUGGUUUCCGUAUUUAUCUUGUUUAGAUUCUUGAUGUACACUUUAUCUAUACUGUUUAUUUCCUCAUCUUAUUAUUUAUUAUGUUUUAUCUCAGUAGGGCCCGGACCUUUCGUCGUCACUACCCAACCAAGGUUAGGCUUGACACUUACUAAGUACUGUUGUGGUGUAUUCAUGCAUCUUUUGCGCAUGUAUUUCAUGUGCAGACCCAGGUACUUUAUCUCAAGCACACUAUCCUUGAGGCCAGAAGAGCUACGAAGACUUUGAGGUACUUCUGCAGCCUCCGCAGACCAAGGAGUCUCCUUCUUACUCUACUUGUAGUAUUUAGACGCCUUCCGUACUUUUGCUUUAGAUGUUCUGGAGUUAGAGCCAUGUAUUACUAUUCGUUAGCUUGUGUUCUUGUGAUUUUCCAGGUUUUAGGAUGAUAUUGUAGACUUCCGCAUUAUUGAGUUGUAUAUGCCGAGCGGCUUUUACAUACAGUUUCUUUUAGUUGCUUAGUUUUUAAUUAA